Small nucleolar RNA from Osmerus eperlanus (European smelt), 133 nucleotides. RefSeq annotates it as small nucleolar RNA SNORA14. The transcript has a single exon. NCBI's taxonomy places the organism in Eukaryota, Metazoa, Chordata, Actinopteri, Osmeriformes, Osmeridae. The record is from RefSeq and is a predicted model, not a curated record.
GUGCAUCCUUUGUAAACCCCCUAGUUGCUGAAUGUGUAGCCUCUGGGACAUGGAAGGAUGCAAGAUUGAUUUUAGGGAAUCCAAAGCCGGUGACUUGUCAGUGGCUUUUGGCUAUUUCAACUCUAAGACAGAC